UGAGGAAUAUUGGUCAAUGGGCGAGAGCCUGAACCAGCCAAGUAGCGUGCAGGAUGACGGCCCUAUGGGUUGUAAACUGCUUUUAUAUGGGAAUAAAGUGAGGGACGUGUCCCUUAUUGCAUGUACCAUACGAAUAAGGACCGGCUAAUUCCGUGCCAGCAGCCGCGGUAAUACGGAAGGUCCAGGCGUUAUCCGGAUUUAUUGGGUUUAAAGGGAGCGUAGGCUGUUUGUUAAGCGUGUUGUGAAAUGUAGGAGCUCAACUUUUAGAUUGCAGCGCGAACUGGCAGACUUGAGUGCGCACAACGUAGGCGGAAUUCAUGGUGUAGCGGUGAAAUGCUUAGAUAUCAUGACGAACUCCGAUUGCGAAGGCAGCUUACGGGAGCGCAACUGACGCUAAAGCUCGAAGGUGCGGGUAUCGAACAGGAUUAGAUACCCUGGUAGUCCGCACAGUAAACGAUGGAUGCCCGCUGUUAGCACCUAGUGUUAGCGGCUAAGCGAAAGCAUUAAGCAUCCCACCUGGGGAGUACGCCGGCAACGGUGAAACUCAAAGGAAUUGACGGGGGCCCGCACAAGCGGAGGAACAUGUGGUUUAAUUCGAUGAUACGCGAGGAACCUUACCCGGGCUUGAAUUGCAGAUGUUUAUAUCAGAGAUGAUAUAUUCCCUUCGGGGCAUUUGUGAAGGUGCUGCAUGGUUGUCGUCAGCUCGUGCCGUGAGGUGUCGGCUUAAGUGCCAUAACGAGCGCAACCCCUUUUUUUAGUUGCCAUCAGGUAGUGCUGGGCACUCUAGAGAUACUGCCACCGUAAGGUGUGAGGAAGGUGGGGAUGACGUCAAAUCAGCACGGCCCUUACGUCCGGGGCUACACACGUGUUACAAUGGGUGGUACAGAGAGUUGGUUGUACGCAAGUGCAAUCUAAUCCUAAAAACCAUUCUCAGUUCGGACUGGGGUCUGCAACCCGACCCCACGAAGCUGGAUUCGCUAGUAAUCGCGCAUCAGCCAUGGCGCGGUGAAUACGUUCCCGGGCCU
This 1025-nucleotide ribosomal RNA is filed under the name unidentified. Its description in RNAcentral is "bacterial SSU rRNA". It matches the Rfam family "Bacterial small subunit ribosomal RNA", at positions 355 to 1381 of the family's 1533-position model. The record is from RNAcentral. RNAcentral also lists the same sequence under 1 other name.